GAAACCGGUGACUGGGGCUAAGUCGUAACAAGGUAGCCGUACCGGAAGGUGUGGCUGGAACACCUCCUUUUUGG
Molecule: ribosomal RNA, 74 nt
Filed under: Muribaculum sp. An287
Lineage: Bacteria; Pseudomonadati; Bacteroidota; Bacteroidia; Bacteroidales; Muribaculaceae
Also listed under: 1 other name
Description: partial 16S ribosomal RNA
Rfam family: Bacterial small subunit ribosomal RNA
Source: RNAcentral